GCGGCGGGACGACCCGACGCGAUAUCCCACUGGCGGGGACGACUCCG
Molecule: non-coding RNA, 47 nt
Filed under: Rhodanobacter spathiphylli
Lineage: Bacteria; Pseudomonadati; Pseudomonadota; Gammaproteobacteria; Lysobacterales; Rhodanobacteraceae
Description: Rhodanobacter sp. Guanidine-II sequence
Rfam family: Guanidine-II riboswitch aptamer (mini-ykkC)
About the family: Simpler in structure and has fewer highly conserved nucleotide positions than the ykkC-yxkD leader.
Source: RNAcentral